GACGAACGCUGGCGGCGUGCUUAACACAUGCAAGUCGAACGGAAAGGCCUGCUUUCCCUUGUGGAUUGCGGGUACUCGAGUGGCGAACGGGUGAGUACCACGUGAGUGAUCUGCCCCCAACUUGGGUAUAAGCCUGGGAAACUGUGUCUAAUUCCCGAUAGUACUGCAGGGUGGUGCCUGUGGUGGAAAACGAUUUUCUAGUGUUUGGGGAUGAGCUCGCGGCCUAUCAGCUUGUUGGUGGGGUAAUGGCCUACCAAGGCGGCGACGGGUAGCCGGCCUGAGAGGGUGGACGGCCACAUUGGGACUGAGACACGGCCCAGACUGGUACGGGAGGCAGCAGUGGGGAAUAAUGCACAAUGGGCGGAAGCCUGAUGCAGCGACGGCGCGUGGGGGAUGACGGCGUUCGGGUUGUAAACUCCUUGCGACGGCGAGGAAGACACCUGGUUGGAAGGGUGGUGACGGUAGUGGUAGAAGAAGCACCGGCUAACUACGUG
This 494-nucleotide ribosomal RNA is filed under the name uncultured bacterium. Its description in RNAcentral is "partial 16S ribosomal RNA". It matches the Rfam family "Bacterial small subunit ribosomal RNA", at positions 28 to 507 of the family's 1533-position model. The record is from RNAcentral.